Molecule: long non-coding RNA, 4423 nt
Filed under: Sus scrofa (pig)
Lineage: Eukaryota; Metazoa; Chordata; Mammalia; Artiodactyla; Suidae
Description: lncRNA (ENSSSCG00005023734.1)
Rfam family: tRNA (bases 1662-1735)
Source: RNAcentral
GCAGAGGAUAUCUCCUAUAUGCUGGGGAAAAUGAGGAGUCAAGGUAAAUGAAACAUCAGUUUAAGCAUUUCCAACACAAUUUUCUGACACUUCUUAGUUUAACAGAAAAUGAUUAUAUUUCUUAAUAAAACAGCAAAUGUUAAUGAUUCUGCAAACAAAAUCAUUAUAUGGUUAAACUAAAGAAAAGAAGACUAAUUCCGCAUGUUUUAUGUUAGAAUCCAGCAUUAUACAUGGGAAUAAUACUGCAUAGAAUCUUUUCUUUCAACCAAAAUAUAUUAAUUAUAGAAUAUUAUGCUUAAUCUUACCUUAGGGAGAUCACAUGAGCCACAUUCAAAGUCUCAGUUCCUUUCUAGAGUUUGUUAUAGUAUAUUUCUUGGGAUCCAAUCAUCCACUAAAUGUGAAAUGAAGUAUAUUAAAAUAUGCAAAUAUUCUAAAGAGAUGUAUAAUAAUCUGAACUAUAAAACAUAGUUAUAAAAAUAAGAUAUUUAGUUCUGGGCAGUAUUUUGGGUAGCAAAAGCUAGAUUCUUACAGAUAUAUCAAAAUAUGAGAAAAAAAUUAAUUUUCAAAAUUGCUAACAGUGUUGAACAGAGAUGACAGUUUAUUACUAAGUUUUUAAAUUUUAUGUUCUGCUUUGAGUUGUAUGUCUUAAUUUCCAAAAUUAACACUAUUCAUCAGGCUGAUGAGCCCAAAAUAAAUGAUAAUACAGUUAUAGUAUGUGUCAAAUACACAAUAGUUAAUUGUUAAUUAAAAAAAUAAGCAGUACACCAUUAUAAUUUUUAAUGAUAUAGACAUGCAUCUUUGGUUUUACCUUUAGAUUUUGACAGUAUCAUAAAUAAGAACAGGAUUGUGCAGGUACUCAUAGGGCUUUUCCAUGCAGGAGUAUCUAUGGGUACUUGAGGCGUAUCCAUUCUCAAUCAAUAUCCCACAUCCAGGCCCGCAAUUCCUUACUCCAGUCCUUCAUGCUUGGUGCUACUUUCUCCAUUUAGUCUUCUUUCAAACUCUAAAUAUUCCCAUCAGGAAAAUUUAUUCAUCCCUAAUAUUUGGGGGUAACAUUUUAUCAGCUCACAGUCUUUAACUGUAGCAAAAUAGACUGAGAAAACCAUGGACCUCUUGGAAGGGGCCAAGGAACAGGAAGGAGAAGCAUGCAAAGAGGAGAAAUUUGGGAUUUCAAAGACUAAUACCUUUCACAGUUUUCCUGAGGACAGGUCCAGAUUACAUAUCCAGCAUAUAAAGCAGAGUUAGAAUAAGAGGAAUGUCAGGCUGUCAGAUAUAGACAAAGAAUGGCUCAAAGAACAGAGUGAUGAAGGCUUUGGACAGAAAUAUAAGGAGUAAGGUCAGAGAGAGGGAGGCAAUGUGAAUAGACGUGGAGGAUGCAUUUAAAAAUGAAACUGGGAGUUCCCACUAUGGCGCAGUGGAAACGAAUCCAACUAGGAACCAUGAAGUUGUGGGUUGAAUCCCUGGCCUCACUCAGUGGGUUAAGGAUCUGGAGUUGCCUUGAGUUGUAGAUUACAGACAUGGCUUGGAUUCUUCAUUGCUGUGGCUGUGGUGUAGGCCAGCAGCUGUAGCUCCAAUUCAACCCUUAGCCUGGGAACCUCCAUAUGCCGUGGGUGUGAACCACCCCCCAAAAAAAAAGAAAAAAGAAAAAUGAAACUGACUGGAGUUCCCUGGUGAUUCAGCAGGUUAAGAAUCCAACAUUAUUAUUGCUGUGGCUUGGGUUAGAUCCCUGGCCUGGGAACUUUCACAUGCCACAGGUGGGACCAAAAAAUUUUUUUUCUAAUUUUAAAAAUUAAACUGAUCAAACUAGAUUAUGCACAAUAGUAGCAAGGAGAGAAGAGGAAAAUUAUAGUACAAGAUGCUUUUUGUAGAGGCGCAUAAUCUAAAAAAUGAAAAUAAAAUGUUUAGGUCAAGAAAGUUUGAAAAGGAAUUACAAUAACUAUAUAAACAAAUAUUCACCACAUGCUCCUCUUGCUUUCUCUUCUUUCCUUCACAGUGACUGUGGUUACAACAUGGCUUCUCUGUCCACUUUCUCCCUCCUGGUUAUGUGGAUUCACAGUGUGUACAUUAGUAUAUAGAGUAAAUUUUCCUUGGAUGUACUCCAGCAAGCAAGUUCCUAUUUCAAACUGCUUCUGUUCAUACUCACUCUCCACCACUUUCUCAUUCUACAAUUUUAGCUAACUUAUUUAACAUCCUAACCACUCAGUUUCCUCUCCUGUAAAAUAGGUAUAAUAUUCACAGUAAUAAUAUGGUUUUUAUAGGAUGGCUAAGAGGCUCAAAUGACAUAAACUAUGUAAGCAAUGUCCUAAAACAUAGAAAGCAUUAGUGAACAUUUUUAUUGGUAUGCUGACUAGUCUUAGAAAAAGAAGAGUCAAGUUAAGAGUCAUCAUAUCUAUUACAUUGCACAAGGGCCAAGUUUGGAAAUAAGCAUUUUAGAAUUGCUUCCAUUUUCUCUAAUAAUCUUACUUCAAGCCCAUGCAUAUGCACACAUUCAUACAUACAUGCCAUUAAUUUAAUGAUUUAUGGUUUUCUAAGUGUUUUCACAUAGAUUAUUUCAUCUGUUCUAACCCAUAAUGAUUGGUGACUUUCCCAUGGUGUGUAUGAAUCAAGGUCUGAUGAAUGAUAUCCAGCCCCAUUUCCAUCACUCUGUCUCUCACAGCAUGGAGGUGGGCACCUAUUCACAGAAACCCAGGACUGGAAAGAACAGUAUUUAAUAUGCUAUGUCUUCUGUAUUUGAUCAUCCAGUGAAUCGCCAUAUGAUUUGAAAUCUAAAAAAUUAUUUUAUGUACCACUAAGAAGAAGAAAAUCCACAUUUUUACUGUGGCUGCAAGACACUGUCAGUUUUAACAGGCAUCUUACUUCAGAGAUAUUAAAGUUGAAAAAAAUUUAAUCUUAAGAUUAAUGACAUUUGGAGUUUAUAAUUAUAGUAGGUAUUUCAUUUACAUUUUCGGGAAAUCUGCUCUGUGUAUUAUAACGCAGUUGGACUCUGAGUUUAAUGUGAACCGAAAUCUCCUAGAAUGGUUGCUGAAAAUCGAGAUGCCAGGAUAUUGGCACCAGUGGUUUUGAUUCAGUAGAGCUGGGGGAAAGGAGAGGACAUUAGUUUUUAAAAAAGCCACUUAAAUAAUCCUGACAUUUGUGGUCAAAACAGCCGCAAUUUGGUCAAGAUUGGUGUCAUGGAAAGAAUAUAAGUUCAAACCCUGGUUUUUACCACUAGUAGAGCUGUGUGACCUUGAGUAGCUGGUUAGAAAGCUUGUACCUUUGUGCUCCGGGAGACACUGUAGCGCAGUUGGUGAAACUGUCAGGUUCUUCACUACAUAAUCUCCCUAGGCUCCUUAUCAGUAAAAGGGGGUUAUCUAAUCAAUGAUUUCAUAUAGGUAAAACACGUGGAACACUGCUGGCCUGUAACAAGCACCACAAAAGUUUUUGCUCAUCUGCAGAAAUGGGAUAGUAAUAACUGUACUCACCUCAGAACACCAUGAUGAAUAAAUGAGGCAAUGCAUCUCAAGGAUCUGGCAGGGAGAAGAGACUUUUAAAAAACAUUGGCUUAAUUAAGUUACCUCUUCCCAAACAAGAUCUUUAAAACUUCUUUUCAGAACUAAACCUUAUUUCCUUUUCCUUGUUUUAUCUUGGAGAUAGACAAGGAAGGAUUUUCUAUAAUAUUUUAAUGUUCUUAUUUAUUUGACAUGAAAUAUAUUAGCACCCCCCCAAAUGAAGUAAGCCUCUUAACAUUAUUGUAUAAUGUAAAUUUUUUUGAAUAAUCAUGUUUAUUCUAGAAUCAGCAAAUAUUAGAAAAAUUAGACAAUUGUUAAUAAGCACAAGUUUGUCAUUUUUUAACUUACCAUAAUCUUUACAUAUGUGUUUAUAUUCUAGACAGAGAUGUUGUUCACUAUUUAAAAUUGAACUUUUCCUUUGAGAUUAUAGAUUCACUUGUAGUCGUAAGAGAUAAUGUAGAGAGAGCUUGUGUAUACUUUACUCAGUUUCCCCCAAUGAUAACACCAUGUAUUUAUAUGUGUGUAUUUAGUUCUGCAUAUUUUUACCACAUCUGUAUGUAUUCAGCACCACAGACAAGAUACACAGUUCAGUGUUACCCUUUUAUAACCACAUCCCUCCUGCCUCACCUCCUCCAACCCAUCCUAUAAUCUAGCAACAAUCUAUAUCUGUUCUCCAUUUCUACAAUUUUGUCAUUUCAAGAAUUUAUAGAGAUGCUAUCAUACAUCAUAUAAAUUUGGAAAACUGCCUUUUUGCAUUCAGCAUAAAAUUCCGUGGAGGUUUAUCCCAGUUGUGACAUGUAUCAGAAUUCUGUACCUUUAUGUUGCAGAGCAGUAUUGCAUAUUAUGAAUGUACUACAGUUUGUAUAGCCGUUCACUCAUUGAAGAGCACUGAGUUGUUUCCAGGGUGGGGCUAUUACAAAUAAAGCUGCUUUGAACAU